Molecule: microRNA precursor, 72 nt
Organism: Caenorhabditis briggsae
Lineage: Eukaryota; Metazoa; Nematoda; Chromadorea; Rhabditida; Rhabditidae
Rfam family: mir-60 microRNA precursor family
Source: Rfam
UUCUUGAGCUGGAAAGGUGACAUAAAAUCAUGUCCAAGCACGCGAUAUUAUGCACAUUUUCUAGUCCAAGAC